This 436-nucleotide ribosomal RNA is filed under the name uncultured Anaerovorax sp. RNAcentral's name for it is "partial 16S ribosomal RNA". It matches the Rfam family "Bacterial small subunit ribosomal RNA", at positions 341 to 792 of the family's 1533-position model. The record is from RNAcentral. Lineage: Bacteria; Bacillati; Bacillota; Clostridia; Peptostreptococcales; Anaerovoracaceae.
ACGGAAGGCAGCAGUGGGGAAUAUUGCACAAUGGGCGAAAGCCUGAUGCAGCAACGCCGCGUGAAGGACGAAGGCCUUCGGGUCGUAAACUUCUGUCCUUAGGGAAGAAACAAAUGACGGUACCUUUGGAGGAAGCCCCGGCUAACUACGUGCCAGCAGCCGCGGUAAUACGUAGGGGGCAAGCGUUAUCCGGAACUAUUGGGCGUAAAGGGUGCGUAGGUGGUUUGCUAAGCGCAUGGUGAAAGGCAAUGGCUUAACCAUUGUUAGCCGUGCGAACUGGUUUACUUGAGUGCAGGAGAGGAAAGUGGAAUUCCUAGUGUAGCGGUGAAAUGCGUAGAUAUUAGGAGGAACACCAGUGGCAAAGGCGACUUUCUGGACUGUUACUGACACUGAGGCACGAAAGCGUGGGGAGCAAACAGGAUUAGAUACCCUGGUA